Molecule: long non-coding RNA, 1077 nt
Organism: Helianthus annuus (common sunflower)
Lineage: Eukaryota; Viridiplantae; Streptophyta; Magnoliopsida; Asterales; Asteraceae
Exons: 6
Source: RefSeq, a predicted model, not a curated record
UGAAUUCCCUUUCCUCAUCCCAAUACACCCAUUACCUGUUUUCUUAGUAUCAACUCUGUUCUUUUUUGAAUUCCCUUUACUCAUCCCAAUACACCCAUUACCUGUUUUCUCAGUAUCAACUCUGUUCUUUCAUCUUCUACCAAUCAGAGAAACCCUAAACGCAUCUUCAAGCUGUCAUCAAAUUUUGAAUUCCCCCUCUCAUCCCCAAAUCCCCAUACGUUCACUCCUUUCAUCUAUAGAGAGAGAACCAAAGAAAAAGAAGAGAGAGAGAGAGAGAGAGAGAGCGGGGAGAGAGAGCAACGAUUCUUCCCUCAAAAUCGUUGAUGUUCCAGAAAUUGUUGUUCAAGUGCUUGAUCUGGAACCAACCGGUAAUAGAUACAGGAAGACCAACGAUGGGAUCAUCAUCAUCAAUGAUGUUACAGAUUCAACGAUCUAAGGUCGGAGUUUCCACGAUUCAGAUUCAAAUCGACUCUAUCCAAUAUCGAUUUAUUAAGGUCGUUUAAUCACUGCAAUCCCGUACCCAAAUCUAUGAGAGUUGAGGCUGGCACCAUCCAAUUAAAAUAUCCACAGAAACGGAGUGAUUGCCGGUUGUAGCACUAUUCUCUGCAGUUUGCACCAUUUAUCUGGGAAUUCUUCAUUUUAAGGCGGUGGAUUUGGGAUUUAUAUAAGGCAAAGGUAAUCCACUUUUGGACUUCAAUACAAAUUUUAAUUCAAGGGGAUGGAGGUAGAGGAGGAAAUGGCAACUUCGUGUGGAUACAAUGAGCAUCACAGAAUACCAGACGAAAUGACCGUUUGGAAGGGCUGAAACGAAUUAAUUUUCUUAGGUAAAAAAGUGCAUUUGGACCGGAUGCUGGAUAAGAUUAAAGUUACGUCUUUCAACUGGGUCAAAAAUCGAUCCAAGCUAAGCGAAUUUGAGUCAGAGUACCAGAGAGCUUUUAAUUUUUCCUAAUGUUUUUUUUUUUGAUAUAUUCAGUUGGGUGAUGAAUCUUUACAACUGUUGGAUGUAUGUGUUUUUUAGCCACUGGCUAGAAACCUGUUGCGUAUAUAAAAAAAGGUCAAAUAGCCAUUGUUCUUAAA